Molecule: non-coding RNA, 182 nt
Filed under: Kingella negevensis
Lineage: Bacteria; Pseudomonadati; Pseudomonadota; Betaproteobacteria; Neisseriales; Neisseriaceae
Description: 6S / SsrS RNA
Rfam family: 6S / SsrS RNA
About the family: E. coli 6S RNA was the first non coding RNA to be sequenced, but its function was unknown until recently. It consists of 184 nucleotides that fold into an extended hairpin structure with a large single-stranded internal bulge.
Source: Rfam by way of RNAcentral
AUUUCCCUGCGAUGUGCGUGAGGGCAUACAUUUCCUUGAACCAAUAAGUUUGCUUCGGUUGUCAGGAGCAGUAACAGGUGCGAGCGGUCUCUUAGUCAGACUGCACCCGAAGUUACCCGAGAUGACCACCUUGUUUUCAAGGUUCAAGCGGACUGAGCCGAAGCGGCAUUUGCGGGGUUCCU